UACGGGGGGAGCAAGCGUUGUUCGGAUUUACUGGGCGUAAAGGGCGCGUAGGCGGUCGUGACAAGUCACUUGUGAAAUCUCCGGGCUUAACUCGGAACGGUCAAGUGAUACUGUCGGACUACGAGUACAGAAGGGGCAACUGGAAUUCUCGGUGUAGCGGUGAAAUGCGUAGAUAUCGAGAGGAACACCUGCGGCGAAGGCGGGUUGCUGGGCUGAUACUGACGCUGAGGCGCGAAAGCCAGGGGAGCGAACAGG
RNAcentral lists this ribosomal RNA (255 nucleotides) under uncultured bacterium. Its description in RNAcentral is "partial 16S ribosomal RNA". It matches the Rfam family "Bacterial small subunit ribosomal RNA", at positions 524 to 776 of the family's 1533-position model. The record is from RNAcentral.